RNAcentral lists this ribosomal RNA (433 nucleotides) under uncultured bacterium. Its description in RNAcentral is "partial 16S ribosomal RNA". It matches the Rfam family "Bacterial small subunit ribosomal RNA", at positions 29 to 507 of the family's 1533-position model. The record is from RNAcentral.
AGCGAACGCUGGCGGCAGGCCUAACACAUGCAAGUCGAACGGAUCCUUCGGGAUUAGUGGCGGACGGGGGAGUAACACGUGGGAACGUGCCCUUUGGUUCGGAACAACUCAGGGAAACUUGAGCUAAUACCGGAUGUGCCCUUCGGGGGAAAGAUUUAUCGCCAUAGGAGCGGCCCGCGUCGGAUUAGCUAGUUGGGGAGGUAACGGCCCACCAAGGCGACGAUUAGUAGCUGGUCUGAGAGGAUGAUCAGCCACACUGGGACUGAGACACGGCCCAGACUCCUACGGGAGGCAGCAGUGGGGAAUCUUGCGCAAUGGGCGAAAGCCUGACGCAGCCAUGCCGCGUGAAUGAUGAAGGUCUUAGGAUUGUAAAAUUCUUUAAGCGGGGACGAUAAUGACGGUACCCGCAGAAGAAGCUCCGGCUAACUUCGUG